This 61-nucleotide transfer RNA is filed under the name Waoraniella jarlinsoni. Its description in RNAcentral is "tRNA-Glu". Lineage: Eukaryota; Metazoa; Arthropoda; Insecta; Psocodea; Lachesillidae. The record is from RNAcentral.
AUUUAUAUAAUUUAUUAAAAUAUUACAUUUUCAUUGUAAAAAUGCCCUAGGGUUGUAAAUA